Molecule: ribosomal RNA, 467 nt
Filed under: uncultured bacterium
Lineage: Bacteria
Description: bacterial SSU rRNA
Rfam family: Bacterial small subunit ribosomal RNA
Source: RNAcentral
GGGCCCGCACAAGCGGUGGAGCAUGUGGUUCAAUUCGAAGCAACGCGAAGAACCUUACCUGGGUUUGAAAUGUAUCGGUAAGCCUCAGAGAUGAGGUCCCCUCUUCGGAGGCCGGUACAUAGGUGCUGCAUGGCUGUCGUCAGCUCGUGUCGUGAGAUGUUGGGUUAAGUCCCGCAACGAGCGCAACCCUUGUCCAUAGUUACUAACGCGUAGUGGCGAGAACUCUAUGGAGACUGCCGGUGAUAAACCGGAGGAAGGUGGGGAUGACGUCAAGUCCUCAUGGCCUUUAUGUCCAGGGCUACACACGUGCUACAAUGGGCGGUACAAAGAGUUGCAAAGUCGCGAGACGGAGCUAAUCUCAAAAAGCCGCUCUCAGUUCGGAUUGCAGUCUGCAACUCGACUGCAUGAAGCUGGAAUCGCUAGUAAUCGCGGAUCAGAACGCCGCGGUGAAUACGUUCCCGGGCCUU